UUAGGAUUGAGGGCUGGCAGGUAGAAGUGCCGGAGCUUACCAGAGGUGCAGAUACGCUAGUGCAUGUGGUCCCGUUCCCUGGUGCCUGUGAACGGCAGACAGCAUCAGGCUAGUUCCUACGGUGCUUCCCCGGCUGAGGACAAGUUAUCCUGUCACCCAGCAUACAGCAGUGACCAAAGGAAGCAGAGCGGUGUUCAGCGUAGACCCUCCUGGGGAGCUGAGUGGCAUCGGGCGGGAGAAAAGGUGGCACCAUCUUUGACUAAGCCGUCCCAGAGGUGUGGCCCACCGGAGAUUGAUAGUGGAAGGAGGAGCAAGUUGAAGGGACAUCUCAUUCUCGAAAAGCCGAGGCAGACUGUGAGGCAGGUCUGGAAGCACCAUAUAAGGGCACUGCUGUCUACAAGAGAGCAUCCUUAGUAUAGGACAUCAGUUAAUACACUGUGUGGCAAAAGCUUCAAAGAAGUUCUUAUUGUUGAAUCCUUCUGUGCCCCUUUGGGAAGAGUGGAGACCUGUUGAGUCAAGAAGAGACAAGCAGCACUGUUAGCACCUUGAAAAAGUUGUGUGAACACAACGAAAUGCGUUGGUGAGAGCUGCUAUUCGUGGUUACUCCCUGGAGAUACAGCAUUUGGAGAUUUGAAGACCUGGACCAAGUCCCCGCCAUUGAACUAUUUGGACCUUUGCCGCAGGGUAAUACCUAAAUCGUGGAAAUCUCUUUACACCACUUCAUCAAGGGACUGCCAUAUUGCGGAAUGCUGAACCACUUAAACACCUUGGAUACACCUGUGGUAACUAUCAUUCACGUUUAGCAAACAUUUGGGUCUACAUGAGACUAUAAAAGGGGACUAUAAUUCAGGAACAGGUCUCUUUAAUCAUCCUGAUCCACACGCAAAUCUGGUUGGGAGUAACACUAUCUGCACCAAUUCUUUUCUUAUGUAUUUUCUAUACAUUUUUAUUUUUUUAUUUUAAAUGGAUGCUAUAUUGAAUUUUAU
This is a long non-coding RNA of Pseudophryne corroboree (corroboree frog), 986 nucleotides long. RefSeq lists it as uncharacterized. The record is from RefSeq and is a predicted model, not a curated record. Lineage: Eukaryota; Metazoa; Chordata; Amphibia; Anura; Myobatrachidae. The transcript has 3 exons.